UACGUAGGGUGCAAGCGUUGUCCGGAAUUAUUGGGCGUAAAGAGCUCGUAGGCGGUCUGUCACGUCGGCUGUGAAAACCCGAGGCUCAACCUCGGGCCUGCAGUCGAUACGGGCAAACUAGAGUACUGCAGGGGAGACUGGAAUUCCUGGUGUAGCGGUGAAAUGCGCAGAUAUCAGGAGGAACACCGGUGGCGAAGGCGGGUCUCUGGGCAGUAACUGACGCUGGAGGAGCGAAAGCGUCGGGGAGCGAACAGG
RNAcentral lists this ribosomal RNA (255 nucleotides) under uncultured bacterium. RNAcentral's name for it is "partial 16S ribosomal RNA". It matches the Rfam family "Bacterial small subunit ribosomal RNA", at positions 524 to 776 of the family's 1533-position model. The record is from RNAcentral.